AUUGAACGCUGGCGGCAGGCCUAACACAUGCAAGUCGAGCGAGCGGCGGACGGGUGAGUAAUGUAUGGGGACUGCCCGAUAGAGGGGGAUCACUACUGGACACUGUGGCUUAUACCGCAUACUAUCGGAUAACCCAUAUGGGAUUAGCUAGUAGGUGGGGUAACGGCUCACCAAGGCGAUGAUCUCUUGCUGGUCUGAGAGGAUGAUCAGCCACACUGGGACUGAGACACGGCCCAGACUCCUACGGAGGCAGCAGUGGGUAAUAUUGCACAAUGGGCGCAAGCCUGAUGCAGCCAUGCCGCGUGUAUGAAGAAGGCCUUAGGGUUGUAAAGUACGUUCAGCGGGGAGGCGUUACCAGCAGAAGAAGCACCGGCUAACUCCGUGCCAGCAGCCGCGGUAAUAC
Molecule: ribosomal RNA, 403 nt
Filed under: uncultured bacterium
Lineage: Bacteria
Description: partial 16S ribosomal RNA
Rfam family: Bacterial small subunit ribosomal RNA
Source: RNAcentral